AUGGAUGAGUACUGUGAUGCAAUUCAAUACGAGGUUCUUGUGUUUUCUUCCACCACUCGUGGCACUGUUUUUGCAUGGAAUCCUCAUGAUUUCGGUCCUGUGAACAUUCCACCACCUAUACUUGCAAAUUUUAUUCAUGAGCAUGAGGACGAGCAGGACCCAUAUACUCAAUGGCGCCUGGCAACUUAUUCCGAUGGAUCACCUCUUCUUGUCUGUAUACGGGCACUGCUAAUGUUACUAAGGAAGCAGGUGUUUUCUCGUAUGGUCGCACUCUCCGGACCUAUUCCAACAUCUGUUGCAGGGUAUUUGGGAUGGAUACUAGUGUACUAG
This 330-nucleotide ribosomal RNA is filed under the name Triticum aestivum (bread wheat). Its description in RNAcentral is "partial small subunit ribosomal RNA". The record is from RNAcentral. Lineage: Eukaryota; Viridiplantae; Streptophyta; Magnoliopsida; Poales; Poaceae.